Molecule: ribosomal RNA, 561 nt
Filed under: uncultured bacterium
Lineage: Bacteria
Description: bacterial SSU rRNA
Rfam family: Bacterial small subunit ribosomal RNA
Source: RNAcentral
UGGGGGAGAAAGAUUUAUCGCCUUUGGAUCGGCCCGCGUCGGAUUAGGUAGUUGGUGGGAUAACGGCCUACCAAGCCGACGAUCCGUAGCUGGUUUGAGAGGAUGAUCAGCCACACUGGGACUGAGACACGGCCCAGACUCCUACGGGAAGCAGCAGUGGGGAAUCUUGGACAAUGGAGGCAACCCUGAUCCAGCCAUGCCGCGUGAGCGAUGAAGGCCUUAGGGUUGUAAAGCUCUUUCAGCGGGGAAGAUAAUGACGGUACCCGCAGAAGAAGCCCCGGCUAACUCCGUGCCAGCAGCCGCGGUAAUACGGAGGGGGCUAGCGUUGUUCGGAAUUACUGGGCGUAAAGCGCACGUAGGCGGAUGCUUAAGUCGGAAGUGAAAUCCCGGAGCUCAACCCCGGAACGGCCUUCGAUACUAAGUGUCUGGAGUCCGAGAGAGGUGAGUGGAAUUCCGAGUGUAGAGGUGAAAUUCGUAGAUAUUCGGAGGAACACCAGUGGCGAAGGCAGCUCACUUGACUCGGUACUGACGCUAAAAUGCGAAGCGUGGAGAGCAAUCAGG